GAUUAUAUUUCAUCUAUUUCUAUUAUUAAAAAUUGGCAUGAUUGAUAGCAUAAUUAAACGGUGAUAUGUGACGUGCUAUAUGUACCUCAUGACUAUGUAUAAAGACCGAUUUUUAAUAGUAAAAAUUGAUGAAAAAUUUAAUA
Non-coding RNA from Gossypium raimondii (Peruvian cotton), 143 nucleotides. The record is from Rfam. NCBI's taxonomy places the organism in Eukaryota, Viridiplantae, Streptophyta, Magnoliopsida, Malvales, Malvaceae.